UCAGAACUGGCACGGACUUGGGGAAUCCGACUGUCUAAUUAAAACAAAGCAUUGUGAUGGCCCUAGCGGGUGUUGACACAAUGUGAUUUCUGCCCAGUGCUCUGAAUUUCAAAGUGAAGAAAUUCAAGUAAGCGCGGGUCAACGGCGGGAGUAACUAUGACUCUCUUUCACAUCUUGCAAAAAUGCUAUCGUACGCACGGGAGGCGGGUAGCUAGACACAACAGCGUAGUAAAUGCCGUCAAGCGGGGACUUGAACGGAAAGGCUGCGUUGUCUAUGUCGAACCAAUGCAAUGCGACUCGGGCUUAAAUAAACCGGACCUGGUGGGAAUCCGACAGAAUCACAAUUAUGUGAUAGACGUUCAGAUUGUGACAGGCGGACAUUCCUUAGACCAAGCGCACCAGCGCAAGGUCGAAAGGUAUGACAGAGCUGACAUAAGAUCACAAAUGCGGCGAUUUUUCGGAGUGACAGGUGAAAUCGAGUUUCAUUCCGUUACACUCAACUGGAGAGAAAAGAUCUCCUCAUCGCUCAAGGUACCAAACUCAUCAGCGUCAGAGCAGUAAAAGGCGGAGUGACGUCUUUCAAACAUUUAAUGUAUUGUGCUGGGUAUACUCGAAGCUAGAUGUACUAACCUCUAGUUUCUCCUAUACUUUUGCCUGCUACCUUGGCAUUCCAUCUAAAAAGGUACAAACAAUGCAUUGUUAAAAAGAGGUGGUUUUAGUACGUAGGCACUGUGGGACUUCAUUGUCCCGAUGAUGCAGCGAAUCGUGCAUACGAGAUUGUCCAGUAGUUGGUUGCUCGUAUCUUUAGAAAAUUUCCUUCCUCGGCGAUCAAAAAAAAAAAAACAAAAAAAAAAAAUUGGAAUAAUUAGCGGGAAAAGAAGACCCUUUUGAGCUUGACUCUAAUCUGGCAGUGUAAGGAGACAUAAGAGGUGUAGAAUAAGUGGGAGAUAUUAUUCCUUGUGUUUGAUAUCGCCAAUGAAAUACCACUACUCUUAUUGUUUCCUUACUUACUUGAUUAAAUGGAACGUGUAUCAUUUCCUAGCCAUUAUACGGAUAUAUUUAUUAUAUCUUAUGGUAUUGGGUUUUGAUGCAAGCUUCUUGAUCAAAGUAUCACGAGUUUGUUAUAUAAUCGCAAACAAAUUCUUUAAUGAGAGAGUGCAUUUAUGUAUUUUUAAUUUGAAAUAUUUGGUAUAACUUCAAUUACUCAGGUAUGAUCCAAUUCAAGGACAUUGCCAGGCAGGGAGUUUAACUGGGCGGUACAUCUCUUAAAUAAUAACCGAGGUCUCCCAAGGCCACCUCAGUGCGGACAGAAACCACACAUAGAGCAAAAGGGCAAAUGCUGACUUGAUCUCGGUGUUCAGUACACACAGGGACACCAAAAGCUCGGCCUAUAGAUCCUUUUGGGUUAAAGAGUUUUUAACAAGAUGUGUCAGAAAAGUUACCUUAGGGAGAACUGGCUUUUUGAUCCUUCGAUGUCGGUUCUUCCUAUCAUUGUAAAGCAAAAUUCACCAAGCGUUGGGAUUGUUCACAUGGGUGUGGGAACGUGAGCUGGGUUUAGACCGUCGUGAGACAGGUUAGUUUUACUCUACUAAUGACAAAACGUUGUUGCGACAGCAUUCCUGCGUAGUACGAGAGGAACCGCAGGUACGGACCAAUGGCACAAUACUUGUUCGAACGAACAGUGGUAUGACGCUACGUCCGUUGGAUUAUGCCUGAACGCCUCUAAGGUCGUAUCCGUGCUGGACUGCAAUGAUAAAUAAGGGGCAAUUUGCAUUGUAUGGCUUCUAAACCAUUAAAAGUUUAUUUUAUAAACGACAAUGGAUGUGAUGCCAAUGUUAUUUGUAACAUAGUAAAUUGGGAGGAUCUUCGAUCACCUGAUGCCGCGCUAGUUACUUAUUAAAACAUUAUUUAAUACAAACGACAAAGCCUAGAAUCAAUUGUAAACGACUUUUGUAACAGGCAAGGUGUUGUAAGUGGUUGAGCAGCUGCCAUACUGCGAUCCACUGAAGCUUAUCCUUUGCUUGAUGAUUAGA
This is a ribosomal RNA of Drosophila willistoni, 2033 nucleotides long. It matches the Rfam family "Eukaryotic large subunit ribosomal RNA", at positions 2108 to 3401 of the family's 3401-position model. The record is from Rfam. NCBI's taxonomy places the organism in Eukaryota, Metazoa, Arthropoda, Insecta, Diptera, Drosophilidae.